This 1578-nucleotide ribosomal RNA is filed under the name Strombidinopsis batos. RNAcentral's name for it is "LSU rRNA". It matches the Rfam family "Eukaryotic large subunit ribosomal RNA", at positions 261 to 1874 of the family's 3401-position model. Lineage: Eukaryota; Ciliophora; Spirotrichea; Choreotrichida; Strombidinopsidae. The record is from RNAcentral.
AGAGUCGUGUACUUGAUACUGGUGCACUAAGUGGGAGAUAAACUUCUUCUAAGGCUAAAUACAUGUAGGAAACCGAUAGCGAACAAGUACUGUGAAGGAAAGAUGAAAAGCACUUUGAAAAGAGAGUUAAAAGACUUGAAAUCGUUGAGGCGGAAGCGGUAGAAAUGAAUUCUACGAAGGUUCUCUGCGAAUGCUGCCUAAGUGCCACAGUCAUGGAAGCGGCAGAGUCGAGGACUUAGUGAGGCAAGAUGGAGUCGAGCGAUGUCAAAGGCGGUGCAGACCCUGGACGCUUGUCAUCCUGCGCUGGCCGGAUGUCGCUCGGCUUGAGGGGCUUUGUGCGAUCUUGCCAAAAUGGUUUUUACCGACCCGUCUUGAAACACGGACCAAGGAGUCUAAGACUAACGCGAGUAUGGUGGUGGAAAAACCAACAUGCGCAAUGAAAGUGAUUGAUGCCAAGGCAACAGCAGCAUCGACCGACCAUGAUCCACUGGUGAAAGGUUUGAGUAAGAGCGUUAUUCUUAGGACCCGAAAGAUGGUGAACUAUGCCUGUGUAGGGUGAAGUCAGGGGAAACUCUGAUGGAAGCUCGUAGCGAUACUAACGUGCAAAUUGUUCGUCGAACAUGGGUAUAGGGGCGAAAGACUAAUCGAACCAUCUAGUAGCUGGUUCCCUCCGAAGCUUCCCUCAGGAUAGCUGGGACAAGUACGCAGUUUUAUUAGGUAAAGCGAAUGAUUAGAGGCCUCGGGGAUAAAAUGUCCUCGACCUAUUCUCAAACUUUAAAUUGGUAAGAACUCCGGCCUUUCUUAAUUGAGGCACGGAGGUUCAAUGCGUGUCCUUAGUGGGCCAUUUUUGGUAAGCAGAACUGGCGAUGAGGGUUGCUCCUAACGUGGGGUUAAGGUGCCAAACUACACGCUCAUCAGAAACUACAAAGGGUGUUAGUUCAUCCAGACAGCAGGACGGUGGCCAUGGAAGUCGGAACCCGCUAAGGAGUGUGUUACAACUCACCUGCCGAAUGAACUAGUCCCGAAAAUGGAUGGCGCUAAAGCGUGUGACCGAUACCCGACCAUUGGCGCGAGAGUGAUGCGCCAAUGAGUAGGAGGGCGUGAGCGUCGUAGCGAAGCCUUUGGCGUGAGCCUGGGUGGAACGGCGUUUAGUGCAGAUCUUGGUGGUAGUAGCAAUUAUUCAAAUGAGAAUUUUGAAGGCCGAAGUGGAGAAGGUUUCCGUGAGAACAGCAAUUGGUCACGGGUGACUCGAUCCUAAGACAUGGGGGAAAUCCUUGUUAAGUGUGCGCUAGCACGUUAGUCGAAAGGGAAUGAGGUUAAUAUUCCUCAAGCUGGAUGUGGGCGUUAAAUGGCAACAUAAACGAACCUCAGAACACCGGCAUGAGCCUCUGGAAGAGUUAUCUUUUCUUUUUAACAGACUAGCGUCCCUGAAAUUGGUUUAGCCAGAGAUAGGGGGGUAUGUCUGGAAGAGUACUUUGCUUUUCGAGGUAUCAGGUGCGCUCAUGACGGUCCAUGAAAACUGAGGUGAGAUAGCUUCACACCAGGUCGUACCCACAACCGCAUCAGGUCUCCAAGGUU